RNAcentral lists this ribosomal RNA (253 nucleotides) under uncultured bacterium. RNAcentral's name for it is "partial 16S ribosomal RNA". It matches the Rfam family "Bacterial small subunit ribosomal RNA", at positions 524 to 776 of the family's 1533-position model. The record is from RNAcentral.
UACAGAGGCCUCGAGCGUUAGGCGGAAUCACUGGGCUUAAAGCGUGUGUAGGCGGACUUCUAAGUACCUUGUGAAAUCCCACGGCUCACCCGUGGAACUGCUCGGUAUACUGGUCGUCUUGAGCCUUCUAGGGGCGAGUGGAACAAAUGGUGGAGCGGUGGAAUGCGUAGAUAUCAUUUGGAACGCCAAUGGUGAAAACAACUCGCUGGGGAAGUGCUGACGCUGAGACACGAAAGCCAGGGGAGCGAACGGG